This 497-nucleotide ribosomal RNA is filed under the name uncultured bacterium. RNAcentral's name for it is "partial 16S ribosomal RNA". It matches the Rfam family "Bacterial small subunit ribosomal RNA", at positions 28 to 507 of the family's 1533-position model. The record is from RNAcentral.
GAUGAACGCUGGCGGCGUGCCUAAUACAUGCAAGUCGGGCGAACGGACGAGAAGCUUGCUUCUCUGAUGUUAGCGGCGGACGGGUGAGUAACACGUGGAUAACCUACCUAUAAGACUGGGAUAACUUCGGGAAACCGGAGCUAAUACCGGAUGAUAUUUUGAACCGCAUGGUUCAAAAGUGAAAGACGGUCUUGCUGUCACUUAUAGAUGGAUCCGCGCUGCAUUAGCUAGUUGGUAAGGUAACGGCUUACCAAGGCAACGAUGCAUAGCCGACCUGAGAGGGUGAUCGGCCACACUGGAACUGAGACACGGUCCAGACUCCUACGGGAGGCAGCAGUAGGGAAUCUUCCGCAAAGGGCGAAAGCCUGACGGAGCAACGCCGCGUGAGUGAUGAAGGUCUUCGGAUCGUAAAACUCUGUUAUUAGGGAAGAACAUAUGUGUAAGUAACUGUGCACAUCUUGACGGUACCUAAUCAGAAAGCCACGGCUAACUACGUG